RNAcentral lists this long non-coding RNA (7893 nucleotides) under Marmota monax (woodchuck). The record is from RNAcentral. Lineage: Eukaryota; Metazoa; Chordata; Mammalia; Rodentia; Sciuridae.
AAAUUCCUACCCUCCUCUGCCCUGCUGCUCUGUGCCUGGGCAUGCCACUUCUCCUCUCCGGGCCUCAGGUGCCCAUCCUGGAUCACACUGGACUCUGCUCAGCUACUCUUCCUUCUGGAAGGGCUUUCUGGGCUUGCCUAUGUUGGAUCCAGCUCAGCCAGGUGUCUGUCUCGGCCCUGUCCCAACCAGGAACAAUGGGCCAGGCGGGGACAGUCACUCUUUGGUAGAACCAUGUUCCAUCCACUCCCCUAGACUAUUUUCAGCCUUUGUAGAGGGAGUCAGAAAAGGAUUUUCCACUCCCAGCACAAUGACCGCCCUGGACCAUUGUCCGGCAUUGAGUGGGUGAUCCACCAGCCCCAAAAUAUCCCCUACUCUACCCUCUGGACCUCCCUACCCUGGUGCUCAUCCUGACAUCAUUUCCUUGAACUGUUAACUCCUGAAGGCUACUAUGGAACAGCAGGUGAGAACUCUGAGGCACAUGACCAGUUGAAAUUAGUUUCUUUCCUGGCAGGGACCCCAGGGAUUGUUUGGCUGCUGAGUGAGACUAUAGGUUCAAAGAGGGCUUUGCCUCAUCCAAGGUCACAUAGCAGUCAGGAUGGAGCCUAGUAUGAGCCCAGGGCUCUAUGACUGCUCCUGCUUCCUCAUUAACUCCAGUCUGUGUCCAGAGGAAUUGAGUGCUUUCACCUUCGAAGGUCUAGGAUGUGCCUCCAGGGAAUAAACCUGAGUGGUAUGGGUAGCAGGGCUACUUCUUGGGUUCUGACAGUGGAACAAUGAAUUCAGUGCAGGGACCUGAGUUUAAAGUCUGUUAUUCCCCAUUUUGUUCUCAUUUUUACCAAAAGUAGGUAUUAAGGAGUAAAUGCGUCCUUCACCUGUUGAAAUCCAAAUUGGCAAGGUGAUGGUUUUAGGAGGUGGGGGCCUUGAGAAGUUAAAUUAGGUCAAGAGAGUAUAGUGCUCACAAAUGGGAUUAAUGUCUGUGUUGGUCAACUUUCUAUUACUGUAACAAAAUACCUGAGAUAACCAAUUUGUAGGGGAAAAAAAGGUUUAUUUUGACUCACAGUUUUAGAGGUUUCAAUCUAUGAUCUGUUGGUUUUGUAGUUUGGGCACUGCAGUGGUACAUCAUGGCAGGAAUGCCUGGUGGAGCAAAACCAUUUGCCUCAUGUCAGGGAAACAAAGGAGUGGAAGGGGAAGGGGGUACUCCUUCAAAGAUACACCCUCAGUAACCUAUAAUCUCCCAAUAGGUCCCACCUCUUUUUUAAUAUUUAUUUUUUAGUUUUAAUUGGACACAAUAUCUUUAUUUUAUUUUUAUGUGGUGCUGAGGAUCAAACCCUGUGCCUCAUGCAUGCUAGGCGAUGCUGUACCAUGAGCAACAACCCAUACCGAGUUCCUACCUCUUAAAGAUUUCAGCACUUCCCAGUAGCACCACACUGGGGACCGAGCUUUAACACACAGGCUUUAGGGGACAUUCUGGAUCCAAAUAAUAGUAGAGCCCUUAGAAAGGGACCCUGGGAGCUCUCUUACCUUAUUCCACCAUAUGAGCUUACUGCAAGAAUUUGGCAGCUUGCAACCUGGAAGAGGGCCCACACCAGAAUCCAACCAUGCAGACACCCCGAUCUCGGAUUUCCAGCCUCCAAAGCUGUCAGAAAUAAAUGUCUGUUGUUCAUAAACCACCUGGUGUUUUGUUACUGCAGCCUGAAAGAAGAUGGCAGCUUUGGCUGGUACUGAGUUCAGAGUUCAAGUGUAUUCAGCUCUGGGGAAAGAGGAGGGUGAGACACAUUGGAUAUCUGAGGCAGGAGGCAGGGUCAGGCCCAGGUCUGCUAUGACUACUCCUGUGGCAACAAACCGAGUUUUUCCUUCUGUCAGAUGGCAUGAAGCCCUUUGCCCAGGUUACCAAACAGGAGGGACACAGUAAGGCUCUGACACACAGCUGCUGUUUCCUCCCAUCCUGCCGCCUGCAAUGGUGAUGGGAGUUUCCCCUUCCCAUCCUUAAACUGAGCAUUUGGCAAACUCCAGCAUUUUGAGUUACUUGGGGUAACAAACAGAGUUCAGCUGAGUUUAAAUUUUCGAUCCGUACUUGAUUUAAUGAUCACCCUCUUCCCUGUGCCAGGAGGCCCUCCUCACUCCGGCUCUGGUCCCUCUCUCCUCCCAUGUGGGAAGAACAAAGACUGCAUGUCUUCUCUGGUAUUGCCACCACCCUCUCUCCCAGUCCCUGUCUGGCCAUGACAACCUGGACAGUGAUGCCCGGUGACAUAGAGCCCUUCAAAUACCAGCCCACCCGCCCCCGCCUUGUAAAAAAAGUCUCCAACUAUUUCGGAGUGACUUGAUUUGAGUGUGCCACGUCUUUCCUACUGCGAGCCAGACUGAUACCCCCAGUCUCCCCGAGGGGUUUUCCUAGAGCACUCCCAAUUGGCUUGAGGUAGGAAAGCCCUCAUCCUCUUCUCACCCCACCCUCCCCACCAGGCUGAGACCUCAAAAGUGCAACGAUAUCUUCAAAUCCACAGAACCCAACGUCCAGCAUGGAGAGUGGAUGUGGAGGAGUAUAGGAGGGUGAGGUAAUGAACUCCAGGAAGGUGUCAAACCCACUUGUUUUCAGGCUUCAUUAGAAAGUGGGGUACUUCAGGGCUGGGAUUGUGGCUCAGCAGUAGUGCGCUCACCUAGCACGGGCGGGACCCGGGUUCUAUCCUCAGCACCACAUAAAAAUAAAAGCAUUGUGUUGUGUCCAUCUACACCUAAAAAAAUAUUUUUAAAAAAAGAAAGUGGGGUACUUCACCCAAACGUGUCUUCAGAUAUAGGUCCUGGGGUUAAAUUUCAAAUCAGCAGCUGCACCCCCUCAUGGGAUUAAACUGGUAGACCAGCUUUUAUGCGCAAAGCAAUUGAAAUGCAAGGGAGGAAUCUAAAAGCUGCCGCAUGGGUGGACACUGUGUGCUGUUGGGUGUGAGUGAGGGCAUCAGUGUUUCUGGGUGUGCCGAGUGGGCACAUCUGUGAUGAAGAACGGAGAGGGGGUGGGGCAGUCCUGACAGGUACCAAGUAGAUACCUAGAGACCCAAGGGCACCGGUGGGCAGCCAGCCUGUGGGAGGCUGGAGGGGCUGCCUGGAAGUCAAACUGAAAUCCAGAGAGGAAAGAAGACAGGUUUAGGGAGGGCAGGGAGAGAUGGGGAGUUGCAGAGAAAAUCUGUGGAGCCCUCCCUUAUCUCUCCCCACUCCUCACUUCCUCUUACUUACCAUCCCCUGGGCCCAGAAUUUCUGGGGCCAAAGGGAAGAGGAAGGGGGCAGCCCAGAGUUUUAACCCACCUGGUUCUUGGCGGGGGCUUCGAACCUUCCCUGGUUGUGCUGAGGUCUGUCCCAGGUUGGUUGAUGCUGCACUGCUGCCCCCUGGUGGCUAUAACUGGCUUCAGCGGCAGGAGAUGAAAAAGAAAAUGAUCCUGGUGGCAGCCAGGCUGUGGCUGGGAAAGGGAUAGAUUCAGGGACCAAGGAUUGGAACAGAGAACACAGUGUGCACACUGUGACUUGCCAACAUAUCCCAACUUGACAAACGGGCAACCAUGCUUAACUGAACCAUGUCUGUCUCCUGGGUACCCCCAAACUUAGUUGGGGAGGGAGAUCAUUCUGUCCUGGGCAAUCCCUUUCCUAUGGGAGACCCUCUUCACAGCUUAGCUUUAGGACUCCUCAGCCCAUGGUAGCCGUGCAAGGGUACGACCAGGACCCUUCUCUGGGCUCAGCACCCCAGGUCCCUUGCCCCACUCCGGAAACCCCAUCCUUGGUAAAAACCCCAUACUUGGUAAAUAAAUCAUUGGUGAAGUCCUUGUCCUCAAACAGUGUGGCCUCUGAAGCUGCACUCCAUUCUCUGAAAAGCGUGACCAGCACAGUGAUCUCCUAGAAGCCCUCUGACUGCAUCCAGGCAGACGUUAGGGCUUAUCCACCAUCCAUGAACUGCUUGUAAUAUGGACCCCAUCAGCACGUGGGUAGGUCAAAUAUAUCUGACUCAUAUGGAGGGGAAGGCCCAAGUGUUGGUCCCUUGGAGUGAAGCUAAAAGCACAAAGAUGAGGGGUGCAUCAGUUGAUGCUCCAGGCCCACCUCACUUGAGAUCUGCACACUUCUCACCCACAAGCGUGUACUCCACCUAAAGCUAGCCGCCUCAUCCACAACCCACAGAGAGCACCAAAGCCCUGGGGGUCAAUGGCAUUCAAACCCCAGCUCUCACAUCAAAGCCAUUUCUCUUUUGGGAUCAAAAGCUUUCAGGUACCUCACUAAUCAGAUAACCUUGGGCUUCUAAGUUUCCUCAAGCUGAGGAAUCAUUACAAAAGGAGUAAUUAUAUACAUAUCAUAUUCGAUUUUUAAAUUUGUUAUUUGUUUAUUUCAUUUUUUAUUUUCACCAUCUGUCUUCUCCUGCAAUAAUGAGCAUUCCCAGGAAGAACAGGGGUCUCUGCUUUAAUCUCUGUGACGAGCACAGUACCCACACAUAGUAGGCACAAUUACCUGCUGAAUGAAUGAAUGAAUACAGUUUGUAGUGAGGAAUAAAUGAGGUAGACUAUAUAAACACUUUUGCAUAAAAUCCAGUACCAAUGGGUACUGAUUAUAUGUUAAUUCCUUUCCUUACCAAGCAAAUUGUUAAAGAUUUCAUAUAAGCCUCACAGUGGCCUUUUGAGGCAGAAACAUUAUUAUGAUCCAUUCAUUCAUUUAUUUGACAAACAUUUAAUAAGUGUCUACUAUGGAGCAGAUGUGAUUUGAUAUACUUGGUAAAUAAAUCAUUGGUGAAUUAAAAAGUCAAAGAAAGAAGUAAUAAACAAUAGACAAAAUAAAAUGUAACUAUACAAUGUGUUGAAAGGUGACAAGUGCCAUGGGGGAAAACAGCAGAAAGGACUGGAGGCAGGGAGGUUGCUGUUUUAAAGAGAAUGUUCAGUAAAGCCUCAGGAGCCAGCGAAUCUAAGAGGGCAUCUGAGGGAACACUUGAAGGGGGGGUGGGAGUUAGCCAAGGAGGAAAAGCCUUCCCAAAAAAUGGACCAGCAAGUGCGACAACUCUAAGACCUGGCUUCCUGUGUAAGGAGGACUAUGGUGGAGUGAGCCCGGAAAAGAGGUCAGAGGUUUGGGAGAUCUGGUUGGACACUGAGCAAGAUGGAAAGCCUGGGAGAGGUUAUAAGCAGGAGAUCUGAUCUGACUUCCAUUUCAGGACUGUCCUUGCUACUGUAUUGUGAAUAGACCAGGGCUGGGGACAUGGCUUAGUGAAAGAGCACUGGCCUAGAAUGUGCAAGGCCUGGGUUCAAUUUUUUUAAAAAAUAGGCCACAGCGGGGCAAGGUCAGAAGCAGCGAGAGCCAGGAGGAGCCAUUGCUGAAAUUCAGAUGAAAGUGGAACCGGGGCUGGGACCAGGUCAGGGACUGGGAACCAAUACCAGUUGUAUUAAAGGAAGAGCCAACAGGAUUCCUGAUGGAUCAGGCAAGGGUGGGGGCCAGAGAAAGGGAGGAAUGGAGGGUGCUGCAAGGUUUUUGCACACAGUGACCCUGAGCUCCAGAGGACUAGUGACAGGCCACAGAGCCGGUUAGCAGGUGUGGGCGGAGGAAUGGAGCAUGGGAUCAGGGUGGUGCAAGGGCCCCCAGGUCUAGGAUGGUGUCUGGGAGAGGGCUGGGCAGAGUAGGGGUGCCAGUCACCAACCAGCUCCAGGGAAGCUGGGUGUUGAUUUGAGCAACAGCUUUUUCCUCUUCCCCUGAACUCCCCUAUGAUGGCCUUUUAAUUGGGUCCAUUUGUUCCAAGACCAUGGGCUGAGCAGAGCAGACGCCGGAUUAUUAAAUAGAUUAGGAAAUGACCCUCUGUCUUGAGUUGCCAGAAAAAUCAGAGCAGCUUAACAGUGUCUCUGAGGAGUAACGCAAGUGGUCCUCCAUGCAUUGCGGAGUCCAUUCUAGGCACCCUGCCCCCCACCUCCCGCCUUCAUCUGCAGUGUCCUCCCCACUCCCUUCCCUCCCCAUCUUCCCAGAGCAAUUUUUGUUCAAAGCAACAUCUUCUAUGAUUACAUUUUCCUUCUUGCAUAACUUUUUGUUUUUCCUGGAAUUAAUUAUUGCCUAAGAGGGAUAUAUUCUAAGGACAAAGAGAACGAUAAAGGAAUCUUAAUCACAUUACUACUAAUAAUAUUGGUGUUUUUACUUUGAAACUACCACAUAUAGUAGAAUAUAACGUACAUGUGAUUAUGUUGAUGUCAUUGGAAAAAACAUUUUCAACAUGAAAGAGAUAGGAGUACGAAAUCAAAGGAGUUACAGAAAAACUACUAAAGUCUUCAAUUUAGGAAUUGAAAAACAUCAGUAUGAACUCAUGAUGCAUUUUUCUCUUAAAAAAAAAAAAGCAAAUAUUUCCAAGCUGGCUGCCGGGGUACAUGCCAGGAAUCUCAGCUACUUGGGAAUCUGAGGCAGGAGGAGAGCAAGUUCCAGACCUGCCUGAGCAACUUGGCUGUACAGCGCUUUCCUAUCAUGUACAAGGCCCUGGGUUCAACCUCUAAAACCACCAAGGGGGAAAAGGUUAGGUAUUUCCUAGCUAACCUUUCAGUUUUGAGACUAGAAAUAAUAUAAGAUGGGCACGGAACAUUUUGUCAUACAAAAAAAGCAUGUUGUCACCAUUGCUAAUGUUGUGUUUAAAGGACAUAGGAACUAACCUGAAUGUGUUCCACUAAUCACAGAUGGGAUAUUUUAAAUAUCAAAAAAAGAAUAAAAACCAGGGAUGGUGCUACACACCUGUAAUCCCAGCAACUCAGGAGGCUGAGAAAGGAGGAUCCCAAGUUCCAGCCCAGCCUGAGCAACUUAGCAAGAGCCUAUGUCAAAAUAAAAAAUAAAAAGGACUGGGAUAUAGCUCAGUGACAGAGCACCCCAGGAUUCAAUGUCCAGGGCCAAAAAAUAAAUAAAUAAAUAAAAUAAAAAAGAAUUAAGAUCUAUAAUAGAUUGAGAUAGAUACCUAUCUGAAACAUGUUUCUUUUCCCCCCUGAAUUUAGCAUUCCUUUACUUUUUAAUAAAUUUAUUUUUAAACUUAUAAAUAAAACACAAAAUUGUAAAUAUUAAUGUGAUAUUUUGAUAUAUGUAUACAUUAUACAUAUAAAGUCAGGUUAAACACAUCUUUUUACUUACAUGUUUAUCAAUUUCUUAGAGUAAAAACUUAAAAAAAUUUUUUUCACUACUAGAGAUUGAACCCAAAAGGGCUCUACCACUGAGUACAUCCCCAGCUCUUUGAAUUUUUUAUUUUGAGACAGGGCUUUGUUAAGUUGCCCAGGCUGAUCUCAAACUUGCAAUCCUCCUGACUCAGCCUCCUGAGUAGCUGAGGUUACAGGCUUGUAUCACCUUCCCUGGCUUCUUCUAGCUUUUUGAAAUGCACAGAACAUUAUGGUUAUCUAUUGUGAAAUUCAUGUUUUGAUCCAGAAGUUUAUAAUGAUACUAAAAGUAGAUAAGCAAGCAAACUCAUAGGUCAGGUUUGUGUGUUGCUAGUUUAUCCAUGCUUUACUCUGAAAAGUAAUUUAGAAGGAAAAUAAUCUAACAUUUACCCUGUCUUUCCUGAUCAAACCAUAUUUCAGAGCGACCAAAUGAUUGAUGAAAAAUUCCUUACAGAAGAACUUGAGCCAAUAAAUGAAGAAGGAAUGAUAGAAUUAAACAUUGCAAUUUUGUAUUCCUGAUAAAGUACUAUUCUAGGCCUGCGCUGUCCAUUAGGGUGGUGACAACCCAUAAAUUGCUACUGAACUCUUGAAAUGUAACUUGCUUAUACUGAGUUGUGAUAUAAAUAUAAAAUGCACAUUGGGUGUUGAAGACUUAGUACGAAAAAUUUUUAAAUAUCUCAAAACUUUAUAUUAAUUACAUAUUGAAAUGUUAAUAUUUUGGUUAUAAUGGAUAACAUAUCAUACAUUAUUAAAAUUAAUUUAAAAUCAUACAUGA